This 502-nucleotide ribosomal RNA is filed under the name Simulium neornatipes. RNAcentral's name for it is "partial 12S ribosomal RNA". Lineage: Eukaryota; Metazoa; Arthropoda; Insecta; Diptera; Simuliidae. The record is from RNAcentral.
CAGCAACCGCGGUUAUACAAAUAAUACAAAUAAAAUUUAUUAGUAAUAGUUAGUUUGUUAUUUUUUUUUAUAAAUUUAAUUUAAAUUUUUUAAGUGAAAUUUUAAAUUUAAUUACAUUUUUAUAUUUAAUGAAGCUAGAAAAUUUUAAUUAUAAACUAGGAUUAGAUACCCUAUUAUUUAAAAUGUAAAUAUUUAUACUAGAGUAGUAAUAGUUAUGAUCUUCAAACUUAAAGAAUUUGGCGGUGUUUUAGUCUAUUUAGAGGAACCUGUCCUGUAAUCGAUAAUCCCCGUUGGACCUUACUAAGGUUUGUUUUCAAUUUGUAUAUCGCCGUUAUCAGAAUAUCUUAAAAGAGCAAUAAUUUUCUUAAUUUAAAAAUAUAAUUGAUGUCAGGUCAAGGUGCAGUUUAUGCUUUAGUAGAGAUGGGUUACAAUAAAUUUAUUUAUACGUUAAAUUGUCUGAAAUGAUGAUUUUAAGGUGGAUUUAAAAGUAAAAUAACUGAAU